GGUUAAGGGAGUAACACCCGAAGCCGUAGCGAAAGCGAGUCUUAAUAGGGCGUAUAGUCGCUGGAAUUAGGCCCGAAACCGUGUGAGCUACCCAUGGGCAGGGUGAAGCGAGUCUAAACACUCGUGGAGGCCCGAACUCACUAACGUUGCAAAGUUAGGAGAUGACCUGUGGGUAGAGGUGAUAUGCCAAUCGAACACGGAGAUAGCUGGUUCUCCCCGAAAUAGCUUUAGGGCUAGCGUCGUGCGUUUAGUACUGGAGGUACAGCACUGAAUGGGCUAAGGGGCUUACAGCUUACUGAACCCAAUCAAACUCGGAAUGCCAGUACUCCAUAGCACGGCAGUCGGACUCCGGGAGAUGAGUUUCGGGGUCGAAAGGGAAACAGCCCAGAUCAUCGGCUAAGGUCCUCAAAUCUAUGCUAAGUGGGAAACGAGGUGAGGUUACUUAAACAACCAGGAGGUUGGCUUAGAAGCAGCCACCCUUUAAAAAGUGCGUAACAGCUUACUGGUCUAGUGACUUUGCGCGGAAAACUUAACGGGGCUAAGCAUAGUACCGAAGCCAUGAGUCUCAACGCAAGUUGGGGCAGUAGGGGAGCGUUCUGUCAGCGGUGAAGGUCGAUCGUAAGGGCGACUGGAGCGGACAGAAGUGAGAAUGCAGGCAUGAGUAGCGAACAAACACGUGAGAACCGUGUUCGCCGUAAAUCUAAGGUUUCCGACGCCAGGUCAUUCCGCGUCGGGUUAGUCGAGUCCUUAGCCGAGGCCGAGAGGCGUAGGUGAUGGAUAUCCGGUCAACAUUCCGGAACCGCUGUAAAGUGCGAUGGGAGGACGCAACGAGAUAGGCCAGCCCAUUAUUGGAUUUGGGUUCGAUCCAUCUAGGCGUUGAGAUUGGCAGGUAAAUCCGCCAGUUGAGCUGAGGUGAGAGCGCGCCGCAAGGCAUAAGUGGUUGAGUCUUGUUGCCAAGAAAAGUCUCUAAGCAUAACUUUAUAGCGCUCGUACCGCAAACCGACACUGGUAGAUGGGUAGAGUAUACCAAGGCGAACGGGAGAACCCUCGUUAAGGAAUUAGGCAACAUGACCCCGUAACUUCGGGAGAAGGGGUACCCUCCUUGGUGUUAAAGCUUCGGAGGGUCGCAGUGAAAUGGCUCUGGUGACUGGUUAACAAAACCACAGGUCUCUGCUAAGCCGUAAGGCGAUGUAUAGGGGCUGACGCGUGCCCAGUGCCGGAAGGUUAAAGGGAGAGGUUAGCGCAAGCGAAGCUUUGAACUGAAGCCCCGGUGAACGGCGGCCGUAACUAUAACGGUCCUAAGGUAGCGAAAUUCCUUGUCGGGUAAGUUCCGACCCGCACGAACCGCGUAACAAUUAGAGCACUGUCUCGACGAGGGACCCGGUGAAAUUGAAAUGGCUGUGAAGAUGCGGCCUACCCGCAGCAGGACAAAAAGACCCCGUGGAGCUUUACUGCAGCUUGGCAUUGUAUUUGGAUAUAAUCUGUGUAGGAUAGGUGGGAGGCUAUGAAGCUGGCGCGUCAGCGUCGGUGGAGCCAACGGUGAAAUACCACCCUGAUUAUGUUUAGAUCCUAACCCCAUUCCGUAAUCCGGAUGGGGGACCGUGCCAGGUGGGCAGUUUGACUGGGGCGGUCGCCUCCCAAAAGGUAACGGAGGCGCCCAAAGGUUCCCUCAGGUGGAAUGGAAACCCACCACAGAGUGUAAAGGCAUAAGGGAGCUUGACUGUAAGGCCAACGCGCCGAACAGAGUCGAAAGACGGGCUUAGUGAUCCCACAGUACCGAGUGGAAGGGCUGUGGCUUACCGGAUAAAAGCUACCCCGGGGAUAACAGGCUGGUGAGAUCCAAGAGUUCACAUCGACGAUCUCGCUCGGCACCUCGAUGUCGGCUCAUCGCAUCCUGGGGCUGGACAAGGUCCCAAGGGUCGGGCUGUUCGCCCGUUAAAGCGGUACGCGAGCUGGGUUCAGACCGUCGUGAGACAGGUCGGUCUCUAUCCGCUGUGGGCGUAAGGGAUUUGAAGGGAGCUGCUCCUAGUACGAGAGGACCGGAGUGGACAGACCUCUAGUGUGCCAGUUGUUCCGCCAGGAGCAUCGCUGGGUAGCCAUGUCUGGCAAAGAUAACCGCUGAAAGCAUCUAAGUGGGAAACUUGCCCUAAGAUUAGAUCCCUG
RNAcentral lists this ribosomal RNA (2163 nucleotides) under Geobacteraceae bacterium. RNAcentral describes it as "partial 23S ribosomal RNA (partial)". It matches the Rfam family "Bacterial large subunit ribosomal RNA", at positions 644 to 2815 of the family's 2925-position model. Lineage: Bacteria; Pseudomonadati; Thermodesulfobacteriota; Desulfuromonadia; Geobacterales; Geobacteraceae. The record is from RNAcentral.